AGAAACUGCAGGGACCCCCGGGACCUCCGCGCUCGCUCCAGGUGGCAGCUCCCGACCCCGUCACCAGGGGGUCUCGGGAGCGAGCGCUUCCGGGCCGGGCGUCACGUGACCAGUCCAGGUCCCGCCCCGCGCCGUGGCCCCGCCCCGCCAAGGAGGGCGCCGGGCAGCCGUGCGGAGGCGGUGCGGAGCCGCCCGAUGCGCGCCGGUCCCCACAGCGUGACGGUGGCAAGUUACGGACCCAGGUCUCCCCAUUUGUAAAAGCGGAGCCUGGGGGGCCACGGGGCUUUCAGCUGCGCCAAGAAGGUGAAAAUCCUAUCCCCGCAGCACCCUUUCCCGCCUUCGGUGACACGAGUUACUGCUGUCGGCGGUUCCAGGGAUCGCUCAACGUCACAGUGGCAAGUAAGCUCUCCGUCUCCUCCUUCUGCCAUCCUCACUGUGUCCGCGAUGCCUUCUCUCCUGGUCACAGGAUGCCUGCCACUGUUCCGGGCAUCGCACGUAGACCUGGCGAGGUCCGGUCCAAGUAGUGGCGUUUCCUCCACCGCGAUUUCUUUUAGGAGGAGAAACGCCUUUCUGCCCCCACAGACUUCCCCCAAAGAGACCCUUAGCCAGACUUGAGCGCACUCAUAACUGAUCCGAUCUUUGGAAAGAAUGCUGGAGGUCACCGUGAUUGAUUUAGUCUCUAGAACUGAGGUUGGAAAAGGGUGAGCACCUGAAGGAUGUCAGUCCUCUGCCAUCGAGGCAGAAGGGCGCAGGGAUGAUUUUCGAUUAGGUGACCGGUAGUACCUGCCACAGUGGCCCACACGACAAACUCCGGGGAAGGUUGGGUGGGCUGCAAGCUCUGUGUGAGCCUAUGAGUCAGAUGGACUCCUAGGCUGCUUUAAUAAGAAAGUAGCAUCCAGAGCAAGAGAGAGAGAGCGGUCAUUGUGUCUCUGUGCUGGCUGGGCCACACACGGUGUGUCAAGUCCCAGGGGAAGAAGUAAGCGGAAGCUCUUACAGAGAAGGGAGUGGGAUGGGUGGGUGUCUAGCACACUGUCAUGGGAAGCAGGGCUGAAAGAACAGGGCAUUGAACCGGGAGAACACUGGGAGACACCUUUCCAUAUGGGGAGCCAUCCUGAAUCCUAGAGAGAUGCCCACAACAGAGGGAAUCACUUCAUGUGGUUCUGGAGGGCACAGCCAGACCCGGAAGCAGUUCUUAUCUCAAUAUAGAAGGAAGACAUUUAUGGUCCCUAGAGCUGCUGCUCAGUGAACGAAGGGGCUGCCUCAGAGGGUGAGGGUCCUGUAAAUGGAGGCUCUAUGACCUGCUGGGAAGCCACCGAGGCCGUUCUUGCUUUGGUAGGGAAGUUGGAUUAGAGGCCUUCCAGGCAUGGAGGUGCAGUGGAAAGGGCCUGAGCUUAGGAGUCAGAGGGUCCUGGAGAGGCUUUGCCGCUUACUAGCUGUGUGACUUUGGGCAAAUCACUUAACCUCUCUGAGUCUCACCUUUCUCAUCUACCAAACUGAGGGCAACAGUACCUGCCUCACAGGGUG
Molecule: long non-coding RNA, 1524 nt
Filed under: Felis catus (domestic cat)
Lineage: Eukaryota; Metazoa; Chordata; Mammalia; Carnivora; Felidae
Description: lncRNA (ENSFCAG00000052543.1)
Source: RNAcentral